Molecule: ribosomal RNA, 385 nt
Filed under: Theileria equi
Lineage: Eukaryota; Apicomplexa; Aconoidasida; Piroplasmida; Theileriidae
Description: SSU rRNA
Rfam family: Eukaryotic small subunit ribosomal RNA
Source: RNAcentral
UUAGUCUUGUAUUGGAUGAUGGGAAUUUAAACCUCUUCCAGAGUAUCAAUUGGAGGGCAAGUCUGGUGCCAGCAGCCGCGGUAAUUCCAGCUCCAAUAGCGUAUAUUAAACUUGUUGCAGUUAAAAAGCUCGUAGUUGAAUUUCUGCUGUAUCGUUUUCCUCUGCUUGACAGUUGGAUUUCGUUAUGGCUUAGUUGGGUUACAGUUUCUGUUACCUGACGUUUACUUUGAGAAAAUUAGAGUGCUUCAAGCAGGCUUUUGCCUUGAAUACUUUAGCAUGGAAUAAUGGAGUAGGACUUUGGUUCUAUUUUGUUGGUUUUAGGAGCCAGAGUAAUGGUUAAUAGGAACAGUUGGGGGCAUUCGUAUUUGACUGUCAGAGGUGAAAU